GUUCUGACUGUUCUGAGCAUCUAUAUGGUGCCUGUCAUCACCAGCUCUAGGCAAAAAUGGGCCUGACUUUCAUUAUAAUGUUGUAAGAUUUAACUUUAUCGAUUCCUUCCUAAUAUGAGAUUCUAUGGAAAUCUACGUUCUCCUUUUCAUUUAUCAACCAUGAACAGAAAAUUCUCUUUGAAGUUUGGUUUCUAAUGAAUAUUGAAGCCAACUUUAGGACAUUAAAGGAAGUGAUUAUGAAGGCCUGUAUUAUGUACAGGUGCACCAGGAUUUCUCUGUGUGGCCCUGGCUGUCCUGGAACUUACUCUGUAGAUCUCCCAAGUGCUGAGAUUAAAGGCAUGUGUCACCACUGCCCGGCGCUUUUAAUUUCUUAAUUUGUUUCCAUGUAACUCAAGAAUGAAUCUUUUAAA
Long non-coding RNA from Mastomys coucha (southern multimammate mouse), 410 nucleotides. RefSeq lists it as uncharacterized. The transcript is spliced from 2 exons. The record is from RefSeq and is a predicted model, not a curated record. Lineage: Eukaryota; Metazoa; Chordata; Mammalia; Rodentia; Muridae.